AGCGAACGCUGGCGGCAGGCCUAACACAUGCAAGUCGAACGAACCUUCCGGGCUUCGCGGCGGACGUGUGUGUAACUCGUCGGAACUUGCCUCUAGGUUCGGACUAACUUAGGGAAACCUGUUCUAAUACCGAAUGUGCCCUUCGGGGGAAAGAUUAAUCGACUCUCGAGCGGAACUAGUCCACUUAGCUCGUUGGUUGAUGUUAUCGCUCACCACGGCCACGCUCAGUAGCUGGUCUGAGAAGACGAUCACCCACUUUGUGACUGAGACACGCCCCAAACUCCUACGGGGCGCGGCAGUGGGGAAUCUUGCGCAACGGGCUAAAGCCUGACGCACCCAUGCCGCGUGAAUCAUGAAUGUCUUAGGAUUGUAAAAUUCUUUCAUCCGGGACGAUAAUGACGGUACCCGGAGAAGAAGGCCCGGCUAACUCCGUG
RNAcentral lists this ribosomal RNA (434 nucleotides) under uncultured bacterium. RNAcentral's name for it is "partial 16S ribosomal RNA". It matches the Rfam family "Bacterial small subunit ribosomal RNA", at positions 29 to 507 of the family's 1533-position model. The record is from RNAcentral.